Molecule: long non-coding RNA, 620 nt
Organism: Lytechinus pictus (painted urchin)
Lineage: Eukaryota; Metazoa; Echinodermata; Echinoidea; Temnopleuroida; Toxopneustidae
Exons: 3
Source: RefSeq, a predicted model, not a curated record
GAUGGGCCUAACGUUCGUUAUGAGAAAACAAAUCAAGUUGUUCUUCAACAAGGACUCCAGGCGGCCGUUGGCAGGUUCAAUGGUGUUAGGCUUGUCGAGUAUGCAGUAGCGGAGAGCACUCUUAUUCCGAAAUCUUCAUCAGCAUUUGAGGAAAAUGAAGACAUGCCGUAUUACGUGAUGUUCUUAGAGCUGGACCAAGAUGAUACUUCAAAUGAAAAUAAAGAGUUUGCAGUUACAAAUGCUAACGAAAUUACAACUGUAAUCGACAAAGAGUUAUGUGAACGCAACAGUGACUACAAGAAACUUCGUAGAGAUGGCUCCAUAUCACGCCCUCGCGUUCACAUCAUGAAAGCUGGCGCCUUUGAACAAUUGAGACAACGCGUGAUACAGACCACUAGCACUACUGCAAACCAGUACAAAGUGCAACGAAGAAUUCGAAGUGUGGACACUCUCAGCUUUAUGUAUACUCACGUGUUUGAUAGUUCUACAACGAAUUAACACUAUGAUUUAAGAAAUGAUCGAGAUAUUUGCACCGGAGGACUGCUUCUUUACCGGCGUAAUCUAUACAUGUAUCUAGCCGUAAUUUGUGAUGUCCCCGAAUGACGUAAUACCGUGUAAGU